GAUGAAGAACGUAGCGAAAUGCGAUACGUAAUGUGAAUUGCAGAAUUCAGUGAAUCAUCGAAUCUUUGAACGCACCUUGCGCCCUUUGGCUAUUCCGAAGGGCAUGCCUGUUUGAGUAUCGUGAACACCUCAACUCUCAUGGUCUGCCAUGAUGAGCUUGGACUUUGGGGGUCUUGCCGGCCUAGCGUCGGCUCCUCUCAAAUGGAUCAGCUUGCCAGUGUUUGGUGGCAUCACAGGUGUGAUAACUAUCUACGCUUGUGGUUUUCUACCAUGUAACCUUCAGCGAUGGAGGUUCGCUGGGGCUCACAGACGUCUCUCCUUGGAGGACAGCUUUUUGAACGUUUGAUCUCAAAUCAGGUAGGACUACCCGCUGAACUUAAGCAUAUCAAUAAGCGGAGGA
Molecule: unclassified non-coding RNA, 400 nt
Filed under: soil metagenome
Description: partial contains 5.8S ribosomal RNA, internal transcribed spacer 2, and large subunit ribosomal RNA
Rfam family: 5.8S ribosomal RNA (bases 1-121)
Source: RNAcentral